AGAGUUUAGCGGUGGAUCGCUUGGCUCGAGGAUAAAAUCGAUGAAGAACGCAGUUAGCUGUGAUAAACAAUGCGAAUUGCAGACAUAUUGAGCAGUAAAAUUCCGAAUGCACAUUGCGCCCACCGGAUUCAUCCCCUCUUGCCAAUACGUAUUUUUGCAUUU
RNAcentral lists this ribosomal RNA (162 nucleotides) under Gongylonema pulchrum. RNAcentral's name for it is "5.8S ribosomal RNA". It matches the Rfam family "5.8S ribosomal RNA". Rfam says of the family: 5.8S ribosomal RNA (5.8S rRNA) is a component of the large subunit of the eukaryotic ribosome. The record is from Rfam by way of RNAcentral. Lineage: Eukaryota; Metazoa; Nematoda; Chromadorea; Rhabditida; Gongylonematidae.